This 569-nucleotide long non-coding RNA is filed under the name Musa acuminata (dwarf banana). RNAcentral's name for it is "long non-coding RNA (MACU_LNC009406)". The record is from RNAcentral. Lineage: Eukaryota; Viridiplantae; Streptophyta; Magnoliopsida; Zingiberales; Musaceae.
UUAGAAGCCCUAUAAAUAACCAUGUAUUCCUUCUCUUUUCUUAAGCAAUAGAUGAAUCUUUUCUGCAGCCUUUGAGCAGCAACUUGGAGGGAGGAACCCCUAUAGAGUUCCAAGAAGGCCGAUCCCCUAAAGAGAUCAACCCCAAGUUUAGAAUCUGCAAGGGUUCUAUCACCUGGUAUCAGAGCAGCGUUCUUGGCAUCUCGCUGCCCUUCCACUGCCAUCCAUCAACCCUCAACAACCACCCAAAGCAAUUCCCACAAUUGCUUAAGAGAUCAUUGCCAAAUUCCACCAUCAUCUCCACCACCGCAGAUCAUCCUUUGAUCUCCCUGUGAAUUGCAACAGGUUAUGGUUUCCUACCUUACUGCUGCUGCAAUUUAGUUAUCCAUAUUCGAAAAUCCAAAAAAAAAAAAAAAAAUUUCGUUCCUAUAUUGCUGCAAAUUUCAUCGUAAGUUGCUGAAAUUUUUCGACGAGAAUUCUGCUAUCGCAACUUACACCAAUUUUCUUGCUGUUACUGCCAAAAUUUUCUUGAUUAAAUUGGACAUCCUUGCUGUCAUAUAAACUGAGAUAUU